AACUCAAUUGUACUGUUUUUAUUUUCUUGCAGAAGAAUUAAAUCAAGUUAGAGAGUCCAUGGACGAAGAAAGAAAAAGGAUAAAGACUUUGCUUCCAGUAAUAUCCUGUGGCAUUAGAGAUCAAACAGUUAUUCGUCGGAAGAGAAUCAUUGGUGGAUUUACUGCACAACCGCUUGAAUUUCCCUGGCAAGUGGCCAUUA
Thamnophis sirtalis is the source of this 200-nucleotide non-coding RNA. The record is from RefSeq and is a predicted model, not a curated record. Lineage: Eukaryota; Metazoa; Chordata; Lepidosauria; Squamata; Natricidae.